GCUGGCGGCGUGCCUAACACAUGCAAGUCGAACGAGAAAGUGGAGCAAUCCAUGAGUAAAGUGGCGCACGGGUGAGUAACACGUGACUAACCUACCCUGGAGUGGGGGAUAACUGAGGGAAACCUUAGCUAAUACCGCAUAACACCUACGGGUCAAAGGAGCAAUUCGCUUUAGGAGGGGGUCGCGGCAGAUUAUCUAGUUGGCGGGGUAAUGGCCCACCAAGGCAGUGAUCUGUAUCCGGCCUGAGAGGGCGCACGGACACACUGGAACUGAAACACGGUCCAGACUCCUACGGGAGGCAGCAGUGGGGAAUUUUGCGCAAUGGGGGAAACCCUGACGCAGCAACGCCGCGUGGAGGAUGAAGUCUCUUGGGACGUAAACUCCUUUCGAUUGGGAAGAUAAUGACGGUACCAAUAGAAGAAGCCCCGGCUAACUUCGUGCCAGCAGCCGCGGUAAUACGAGGGGGGCAAGCGUUGUUCGGAAUUAUUGGGCGUAAAGGGUGCGUAGGCGGUUUGGUAAGUCUUAUGUGAAAUCUUCGGGCUCAACUCGAAGUCUGCAUGAGAAACUGCCGGGCUUGAGUGUGGGAGAGGUGA
RNAcentral lists this ribosomal RNA (593 nucleotides) under uncultured soil bacterium. RNAcentral describes it as "bacterial SSU rRNA". It matches the Rfam family "Bacterial small subunit ribosomal RNA", at positions 35 to 660 of the family's 1533-position model. The record is from RNAcentral.